CAGCGGAGCGUGUGGUUUAAUUCGAUGCUACACGAAGAACCUCACCAGGGUUUGACAUACAAGUAGUAGGGAAAGGAAACUGGACCGACCUUCGGGAGCUUGUACAGGUGCUGCAUGGCUGUCGUCAGCUCGUGUCGUGAGAUGUUCGGUUAAGUCCGCUAACGAGCGCAACCCUCGCUGUGUGUUACAAGUGUCACACGGAACUGCCGGUCAUAAACCGGAGGAAGGUGGGGAUGACGUCAAGUCCUCAUGGCCCUUAUGGGUAGGGCUUCACACGUCAUACAAUGGUCGGUACAGAGGGUUGCCAAGCCGCGAGGUGGAGCCAAUCCCAGAAAGCCGAUCGUAGUCCGGAUUGUUCUCUGCAACUCGAGAGCAUGAAGUCGGAAUCGCUAGUAAUCGCGGAUCAGCAUGUCGCGGUGAAUACGUUCCCGGGUCUU
This 437-nucleotide ribosomal RNA is filed under the name uncultured Thiobacillus sp. RNAcentral describes it as "bacterial SSU rRNA". It matches the Rfam family "Bacterial small subunit ribosomal RNA", at positions 930 to 1382 of the family's 1533-position model. The record is from RNAcentral. Lineage: Bacteria; Pseudomonadati; Pseudomonadota; Betaproteobacteria; Nitrosomonadales; Thiobacillaceae.